GAUGGCCAGCCACACUGGACGUGAGACACGUGCCAGGCUCCUACGGGGGGCAGGUGUGGGGAAUAUUGC
This 69-nucleotide ribosomal RNA is filed under the name Escherichia coli. RNAcentral's name for it is "partial 16S ribosomal RNA". Lineage: Bacteria; Pseudomonadati; Pseudomonadota; Gammaproteobacteria; Enterobacterales; Enterobacteriaceae. The record is from RNAcentral.